Molecule: ribosomal RNA, 392 nt
Filed under: uncultured bacterium
Lineage: Bacteria
Description: partial 16S ribosomal RNA
Rfam family: Bacterial small subunit ribosomal RNA
Source: RNAcentral
AUACGGAGGAUCCGAGCGUUAUCCGGAUUUAUUGGGUUUAAAGGGUGCGCAGGCGGCCAUUUAAGUCAGCGGUUAAAUCGUGGGGCUCAACCCCAUUCUGCCGUUGAUACUGGGUGGCUUGAUUGCGGUCGAGGUUGGCGGAAUUCGUUGUGUAGCGGUGAAAGGCAUAGAUAUGACGAAGAACACCGAUUGCGUAGGCAGCUGGCCAGACCGCAAAUGACGCUCAUGCACGAAAGUGCGGGGAUCGAACAGGAUUAGAUACCCUGGUAGUCCGCACAGUAAACGAUGAAUACUUGUUGUCGGCGAUAUAAUGUCGGAGGCAAAGCGAAAGCGAUAAGUAUUCCACCUGGGGAGUACGCCGGCAACGGUGAAACUCAAAGGAAUUGACGGGG